RNAcentral lists this ribosomal RNA (523 nucleotides) under uncultured thermoplasmales CRARC-4. RNAcentral's name for it is "16S ribosomal RNA". It matches the Rfam family "Archaeal small subunit ribosomal RNA", at positions 358 to 880 of the family's 1478-position model. Lineage: Archaea; Methanobacteriati; Thermoplasmatota; Thermoplasmata; Thermoplasmatales. The record is from RNAcentral.
CRCGAAAGUGUGAUGGGGGGACUCAAAGUGCUUAUACUUAUGGUAUAGGCUUUUGCUAAGUCAAAAUUGYUUGRCGARUAAGKGGUGGRAAAGACUGGKGCCAGCCGCCGCGGUAACCCCAKCGCCASGAGKGGGAACCAGUWUUAUUGGGCCUAAAGCGUCCGUAGCAGGUUUGUUAAWKKGCUUGUGAAAUCGCWUMGCUCAACGRUGCGGAAUGCAKGUARGACUGGYAGACUASAGACCGGGAGAAGUCARAGGUAUUCAGGGGGGAGCGGUAAAAUGCKAGAAUCCUUUGAGGACCACCUGUGGCGAAGGCGUCUGACAAUAACGGGUCUGACUGUGAGGGACGAAAGCUAGGGGAGCGAACCGGAUUAGAUACCCGAGUAGUCCUAGCCCUAAACGCUGUGAACUAGGUGUUGCAUAAUCUUCGGGAUUGUGCAGUAUCGUAGAGAAGUCGUUAASUUCACCGCCUGGGAAGUACGGCCGCAAGACUGAAACUUAAAGGAAUUGGCGGGGGAGCACA